RNA transcript from Diachasmimorpha longicaudata, 1917 nucleotides. RefSeq lists it as uncharacterized. The record is from RefSeq and is a predicted model, not a curated record. Lineage: Eukaryota; Metazoa; Arthropoda; Insecta; Hymenoptera; Braconidae. The transcript is spliced from 2 exons.
AAUUAAUAAUUAAUAAUUAGACAAAAGGUCACAAAAUGUACAAUAAUUAAUAGGUUAAAGUUAUUGAAUCAUUCGUAUUUGUUAGCUUUCUUAACAUUAUCUGUCGAAUAUAGGAUCACCAUUUUUUGAUUUUUUGAAGUCCUGCGCGAAAAUCUCUCGGACAAAAUGUCCCUAGAAAAAAUAAUCUCACUAGAAAAAAACCAAUAGCCUAAUAAACAGUGUGAUCAACAUUAAUAAUGAAUUAAUUCCUGUUCGGGCAACGAGUUUGCAUGUGUCAUAACCUUCAUCUGAUCCCUUAUAAAUUGUAAUCCAUUUAAUCGGCUGUGAAGUUAUUAUUGUUACAAUUAUUAAAUAUUUCAUCAGUGCAGACAUUGUGAGUGAUAGUUAAUUAGCCCAGAGAUUAUGACUGAAAACAGAGUGCGACUAUGACUGAAAACAGAGUGCGAGAUCAUUUAUGUUAUUAUACCGAUAUUCAAAUAUCUACGCAGUGAAUGACAUUAACAAGGGUGGGAAACGAUCAUAUAUUAAACUGACAUCAUCCAAUAAUUUAACUAUUGAUAGGAAAUCCAGUGAAGAAAGUUUUCCAAUUCUGUUACAACUCGAUUCCUCGGUGUCAAAAGUGACUUUGCUGCAGACUAAAGAUCAUAAUUGAAGGUCUCCAAAUUAAUUUUUCUCUAACCCAUUCUAUGGUUUCUAACUAUUUUAUCCUCAGCAAUGAAAUAAUAAGUACCGAAAAAUGUAUUUAAUUUUGCUAAAUUUUCGAGUGAUAAAUUUCACUUCGUGUCAGGGAAAUUAAUUCACUCCAAUCUUUUGAAAAAAAAAAAAAUUAAUAAAAAAAUCACUACUGCAUUGAGUACUAAUAGUAAUGAGAGUCGAAGAAUAAAAAUUAACAUGAAAUUUAUGAAAUUCUAAUCACUGAGAUGAUAGCGCUCAAUGAUGAAAUAGUGAUUUUGUUAUUGAUUUUUAUUUUUCCUUAUUUUUUCUUUGACUAAUGGAAACAAAUUAAUUGUCCUGGUGCGGAGGGGGAUUUAUUACUCGCGACGUUAAAAGAGUUAGGAAAUUUUUUGGCAUUGAUUUCAUUGUGGAGGAUCGAAUAUAUGAAAAUCGUAGAAUAACCUGAAGGAGGAAAACUAACUUUGAUAUUAAUGUAGGGUGUUGGAAAAAUAAUUCAGUUAUAACCAAAGGUCGAUGAAAAUUCAAAAUCCCUUGUUUAAUCAUUCGCAGAAAACUUCGCCCAGAGAGAGGUUUCCCAUCGCCACUCUUCACAAUCUAUACCACUCAUUUAAGCAAAACAUAAAGGUGAGCUCAUUUUUAAUAACUCUGAAAAAAAAAUCCAGUAGAUUUAUCAAUUUAUCACAACAAUUUCAUAAUCACCGUAAUUCUUUUUCAGGUACAUGGUCACAAAACAUUUAUAAGUUAUUUCAAGAAACAAGAAAUGUAAAUUACUUUGUAAACAAUAAAUAAAAUGAAACAAUAAAGAUUGCACUGCAUUGACAUUAUUGGUGAAAAAAAUAGUGUUAUUUAUAUCAUUUCUGCAUGAUUUGAAAUUUUUCAGGAAAAGUGGUUUGAUUUGAUACUAUAUAAUGAAAUACAAGUAACAGAUAACAAAUGACAAAUAAUCAAUAACAAAUAACUUAUAGCAAAUAGCAAACAACAAACACAUUUCUAAUGUAAAUGUCAAAUUUGAUUCAACUGACCAUAAAAAAUCUGCAAUAUUAUACAAAGAUCUACACAAUUUUAGAUUGAGUUUCAGACAAUCAAAUCCCGAUAAUAAACCACAAUGCCUAAACGAAACAUCAUACGUUCUGAAGAAGAAGAAGAAGAAGAGUUAAAAAGAAUUAAGCGCCAAAAAAAUGCUGAUCGACAGCGAGCUUGCCGUCACACGAUUCCCGCUAACUCAAUUGCUUCAGGUCAAUC